RNAcentral lists this long non-coding RNA (290 nucleotides) under Setaria viridis. RNAcentral describes it as "long non-coding RNA (SVIR_LNC006155)". Lineage: Eukaryota; Viridiplantae; Streptophyta; Magnoliopsida; Poales; Poaceae. The record is from RNAcentral.
CCUGAACAUUCCUGGGUCUGUCAAACUUCGUGAUUCAGAAAAAGAAAAUGCAACUCUGAACUGCUGAUGCCUUCAAUCUCGUGGCAAGUGAUGCACAAGCAAGCAUGAGCUACCGUGAUUUCUCCAAAAGAAGAAAUGGUUAAGAACUUAAAACAACGGUGGUCCGUGGAAUGGAGUCCGAUCCAGCAUUGAUCCACCGGGGCCGUUGAAAGUGACAACCUAAGACUCGGCACAUCUACCAACGAUCCACCCCCCUUCCAACGUCUAGAUUGUUGUUUGUAACCUUGUGC